AGGGGGCUGGCGCCACAAAGGGGGCUGGCGACACAACGAAAAGCUCACGCAGUUCGGAGAACUACGGAACCAAGUCCACGCACCUACACCACCGCACCAAGCAGCGAUAUACCAUACGUAAAAACCUACAAUAUAGUAAUAGCUAAAGAAAUAAGAUCACAGGCGUGCAUGCGGCGAAGAUGUCGUGCCCUAAUUAGAAUUCCUAGAAAAGAGGGGAGGUGCGCAAAGGCGACCAAAAAACUAGAGAGGGGGAUCGUUCUGCGCAACGAUCGACCCCUAUAAAAACGGCGACCGAUCACUCGAUCGCUCUCUUGUGUUUCUACCUCCAGAUUCGUCAUCUAGUUCCGGUACAGUCUCGCGGUAAAAUCCUUUAGCCUUUUGCAUUAAAACUUUCAUACAACGUUACUCUGCCCAAAAGUUCAGCGAGCUUCAACUCCAUUUUUACUAAGUCUAAGAUCUUACACUGUGUAACUCUGCGUUUGUGACUUUUAAAUAUCAAACUUAUAAAAUAAACCAAGUUAGUCAAAAUAUCCAAAUAUAUUAAAGUCAGUUAUUCCACUAAAACCUCUCACCAAUCUACAAGUCAUCGCAUCCAGAAUACUCUCAAAAAGGUAAGCCAAAUUAAAUCUUUUAUCCAACAAUUUCUCCCUCUUCGGUUCGUUCGACUAGAGCGACAGAAUGCCCGUUGUCCGGUGUAUUUCAAUACUUAAUCGGUAAUUGGUGACCCAAACUACUGAUGUGAGUCUGGCUGUAGCUGCGUGUGAAUAGAUCGCAAGAGCACA
RNAcentral lists this long non-coding RNA (782 nucleotides) under Neodiprion lecontei (redheaded pine sawfly). RNAcentral describes it as "uncharacterized LOC124293556". The record is from RNAcentral. Lineage: Eukaryota; Metazoa; Arthropoda; Insecta; Hymenoptera; Diprionidae.